UGGGGAAUAUUGCACAAUGGGGGAAACCCUGAUGCAGCGACGCCGCGUGAGUGAAGAAGUAUUUCGGUAUGUAAAGCUCUAUCAGCAGGGAAGAAGUUGACGGUACCUGAGUAAGAAGCCCCGGCUAACUACGUGCCAGCAGCCGCGGUAAUACGUAGGGGGCAAGCGUUAUCCGGAUUUACUGGGUGUAAAGGGAGCGUAGACGGCAGUGCAAGUCUGAAGUGAAAGCCCCGGGCUUAACCCGGGAACUGCUUUGGAAACUGUACGGCUGGAGUGCUGGAGAGGUAAGCGGAAUUCCUAGUG
RNAcentral lists this ribosomal RNA (303 nucleotides) under uncultured bacterium. RNAcentral's name for it is "bacterial SSU rRNA". It matches the Rfam family "Bacterial small subunit ribosomal RNA", at positions 355 to 675 of the family's 1533-position model. The record is from RNAcentral.